This 279-nucleotide ribosomal RNA is filed under the name uncultured bacterium. RNAcentral's name for it is "partial 16S ribosomal RNA". It matches the Rfam family "Bacterial small subunit ribosomal RNA", at positions 506 to 784 of the family's 1533-position model. The record is from RNAcentral.
UGCCAGCCGCCGCGGUAAUACAGAGGCCCCAAGCGUUAUCCGGAAUUAUUGGGCGUAAAGGGUGUGUAGGCGGUUUUAUUAGUCUUUCGUUAAAGAUCCGGGCUUAACCCGGAAAAAGCGAGAGAAACGGUAAAACUAGAGGGUGCGAGAGGUGAACAGAACUCAUGGUGUAGGGGUGAAAUCCGUUGAUAUCAUGGGGAAUACCAAAUGCGAAGGCAGUUCACUGGCGCAUUCCUGACGCUGAGGCACGAAAGCGUGGGUAGCGAAUGGGAUUAGAUA